RNAcentral lists this ribosomal RNA (373 nucleotides) under uncultured Sphingobacteriales bacterium. Its description in RNAcentral is "bacterial SSU rRNA". It matches the Rfam family "Bacterial small subunit ribosomal RNA", at positions 1007 to 1382 of the family's 1533-position model. The record is from RNAcentral. Lineage: Bacteria; Pseudomonadati; Bacteroidota; Sphingobacteriia; Sphingobacteriales.
GCUUACAUCUCUUCGGAGCAUUUUACGAGGUGCUGCAUGGUUGUCGUCAGCUCGUGCCGUGAGGUGUCGGGUUAAGUCCCAUAACGAGCGCAACCCUACCUUUAGUGCCAUCAGGUAAUGCUGGGGACUCUAAAGGAACUGCCUACGCAAGUAGUGAGGAAGGCGGGGAGUGACGUCAAAUCAGCACGGCCCUUACGUCCAGGGCUACACACGUGCUACAAUGGCCGAUACAGAGGGCAGCUACCUGGUGACAGGAUGCAAAUCUCCAAAGUCGGUCUCAGUUCGGAUCGGAGUCUGCAACCCGACUCCGUGAAGUUGGAUUCGCUAGUAAUCGCGCAUCAGCCAUGGCGCGGUGAAUACGUUCCCGGGCCUU